RNAcentral lists this ribosomal RNA (404 nucleotides) under Actinomycetes bacterium. RNAcentral's name for it is "Actinobacteria bacterium partial 16S ribosomal RNA". It matches the Rfam family "Bacterial small subunit ribosomal RNA", at positions 355 to 776 of the family's 1533-position model. Lineage: Bacteria; Bacillati; Actinomycetota; Actinomycetes. The record is from RNAcentral.
UGGGGAAUAUUGGACAAUGGGCGCAAGCCUGAUCCAGCCAUGCCGCGUGAGUGAUGAAGGCCCUAGGGUUGUAAAGCUCUUUCACCGGUGAAGAUAAUGACGGUAACCGGAGAAGAAGCCCCGGCUAACUUCGUGCCAGCAGCCGCGGUAAUACGAAGGGGGCUAGCGUUGUUCGGAUUUACUGGGCGUAAAGCGCACGUAGGCGGACUAUUAAGUCAGGGGUGACAUCCCGGGGCUCAACCCCGGAACUGCCUUUGAUACUGGUAGUGUUGAGUUCGAGAGAGGUGAGUGGAAUUCCGAGUGUAGAGGUGAAAUUCGUAGAUAUUCGGAGGAACACCAGUGGCGAAGGCGGCUCACUGGCUAGAUACUGACGCUGAGGUGCGAAAGCGUGGGGAGCAAAAAGG